RNAcentral lists this unclassified non-coding RNA (325 nucleotides) under Hevea brasiliensis (rubber tree). The record is from RNAcentral. Lineage: Eukaryota; Viridiplantae; Streptophyta; Magnoliopsida; Malpighiales; Euphorbiaceae.
UUCAAACGUACAACAUCCCAAAAUAGCGAACCGACUAAGCUUACACCUAAAGCACCAAAAAAUUAACUAAGUGGUGUAUUGCGUUCCCGUUCCCACAUCGUGUUCCAAGUAACUAUGGUGGCAACACAGGUGGUUUCAUAUCUGUAGGGACAUUACAGUUGUUUGCAGAUGAAAUUGAUAAGAGUCCCACCCUUGAAGAAGAUGGCGCAUUAAUGAUGGUAAAAACUAAAACUUAAAUGAAACAAUGUUAUAGAUAAAUUUAUACCUCCAUUUGAAAACUGCUAUGCGGCAGAACCCUACUAUUCAAUAUAGCUGAGAAUAUAGA